RNAcentral lists this ribosomal RNA (500 nucleotides) under uncultured bacterium. RNAcentral describes it as "partial 16S ribosomal RNA". It matches the Rfam family "Bacterial small subunit ribosomal RNA", at positions 29 to 523 of the family's 1533-position model. The record is from RNAcentral.
AUUGAACGCUGGCGGAAUGCUUUACACAUGCAAGUCGAACGGCAGCACGGGGGCAACCCUGGUGGCGAGCGGCGGACGGGUGAGUAAUACAUCGGAACGUGCCCAGUCGUGGGGGAUAACGUAGCGAAAGUUACGCUAAUACCGCAUACGAUCUAUGGAUGAAAGCGGGGGACCGUAAGGCCUCGCGCGAUUGGAGCGGCCGAUGUCAGAUUAGGUAGUUGGUGGGGAAAAGGCUCACCAAGCCGACGAUCUGUAGCUGGUCUGAGGGGACGACCAGCCACACUGGGACUGAGACACGGCCCAGACUCCUACGGGAGGCAGCAGUGGGGAAUUUUGGACAAUGGGCGCAAGCCUGAUCCAGCCAUUCCGCGUGCAGGAUGAAGGCCCUCGGGUUGUAAACUGCUUUUGUACGGAACGAAACGGUCUGCUCUAAUACAGCGGGCUAAUGACGGUACCGUAAGAAUAAGCACCGGCUAACUACGUGCCAGCCGCCGCGGUAA